CGGGCCUCAAAAUGGCCACACGCGUCCCCCCGUAGCGGCAAAACGUGAGCAUUGUGGCCGUUUUUCGGGGGGAAGGCAACCUGCCACGGCCCUCGGAAGUCCCCAUCGGUGUCCUCCCUCUGUCGCCCGCUCGCCGAAGAGCUGUCGCUGCUCUUCCCUCGAUUUCUUUCGAUGGGGGGCCUUUUCCACGGACGCCCCUGCGCUCGCCGCCGCCGCCGCCGCCCCUCCCGCCUCGGAGACUCUCUUCCUUCCUUCCCCUUCUCCUUACGCAAUAUACAGAAAUGCGCGAGGCGGUGGUUGGUUUUCAUUUCUUCUUGGUGGUUGUGUGCAUGCGGUGGGAUGGGGAGAGUGCGUGUGUGCGCUGUGGGCAGGGUCGACUUCUUCCGAGUGUGGUCUUCUCGGUGAUAGGUUGUGUGUCCAAGUAUGCUCGUGUCUGCGCUGGUUGGCCAGGCUGCUCAGGACUCCGCGCUGUGGCUGCAGCUCCAGCCCGACUCGGAUUCCGGGCCAAAGGCAUAGACAAACCGCCCAGGACCACACCGCGGCCUAACUGUCGGUCUCUCGGUGAGAGAGGGGGGGAAGGCAGAGACCCCUGUGCACUCCCGGACCUCGGCUCCCGCCCCUCUCCCGUGGAAGGAGUGGAGAUCCUAUUCAGAGGGGCCGGUCUCUCUAAAUAUGCCCCAGGUGAGUUUCUGGCGAACGGCAGCGGUGGUGGUGGCGGUGGCGGUGAAAACAGUGACCAGGAAGGCCUUGGGGUCUGGCCUGGGGUGGAGAAAGCUCAGGAUGGAGGACAGGCCGGUUUCAGAUUGGGGAGGGGGAGGGGGGACAAACCCAGAGCCAGGAAUCCAGAAUCGGACUCUGCCGCUCGCUGACUGUGGCCUCUGUGCUGCUGUGGCUUCCAGCCGACCUCUUUCUUUUUUUGAUCCUAUGUGAAAAACAGCUAGUUGGCCUUAGUCCCUCAGGCUGCUCCUGUCUGUCCCGGUUCUGUGCACGUUUUACCAGGCUCAUAACUUCGGGACGGCUAUAUCCGGGUAGUGCAGGCUGAGUGCCCGGGCUCUGGCAGGAAGAAGGCCGCAGCCGUCCUGGCUAGCGCACUUCCAACUCGGGUGGGCCCUGACUGGGGCCUAAGGCCUAGAGCAGGGCCGCGCUGGAACCACCGCUCCACUCCAGGAGCAGCUGGAGAAUGGUUCUGUUCACUGGUGAUUUGGGCUCGCCUGGAGGUCAUGCGGGUGUGGAGGCCAUCCGAGGCAUGGAGGCCAGGCUGGGGCAUGGGGAGACGGGGUGGCCUGUUUCCACAUAAAAGAUUUUUCCAGCUGGGAAAUCAGGUGCCUUCCCCCGCCCCACCGCCCAGGAGCCCAGGGGUUCCCCCAGUUUUGUUCGGGCACCCAUGGAAAUGAUCUGGCAACAGGAGAGGAGGAGCGGGUCUAGGGGGCUUCAAGGUGGUUCUUGGCCACACAAAGAGUUGAAUAGUGAGUCUAGCGCUGUUCAGUUCGGAAUCUUCUCCUCGCCCUACAAAUAAACAAAAACCACUCGGGCUUUCCUCGCA
Molecule: long non-coding RNA, 1543 nt
Filed under: Sus scrofa (pig)
Lineage: Eukaryota; Metazoa; Chordata; Mammalia; Artiodactyla; Suidae
Description: lncRNA (ENSSSCG00015012449.1)
Source: RNAcentral